UACGUAGGGUGCAAGCGUUGUCCGGAAUUAUUGGGCGUAAAGAGCUCGUAGGCGGUUUGUCGCGUCUGCUGUGAAAACCCGAGGCUCAACCUCGGGCCUGCAGUGGGUACGGGCAGACUAGAGUGCGGUAGGGGAGAUUGGAAUUCCUGGUGUAGCGGUGGAAUGCGCAGAUAUCAGGAGGAACACCGGUGGCGAAGGCGGUUCUCUGGGCAUGAUCUGACGCUGAGGAGCGAAAGUGUGGGGAGCGAACAGG
Molecule: ribosomal RNA, 253 nt
Filed under: uncultured bacterium
Lineage: Bacteria
Description: partial 16S ribosomal RNA
Rfam family: Bacterial small subunit ribosomal RNA
Source: RNAcentral